CUUGGUCAUUUAGAGGNAGUAAAAGUCGUAACAAGGUUUCCGUAGGUGAACCUGCGGAAGGAUCAUUAUCGAAAUUAUUGGUGAGGGUUGUAGCUGGCCUUUCGAGGCAUGUGCACGCUCGAGCCCUUAAUCCACUUUACACCUGUGCACUUAAUGUAGGUCGCCCUUAAAAAAGGUGACCUAUGUCUUAUCAUCAACCCAUCGUAUGUCUCAUAGAAUGUAAUCGAUAUCCUCGCCCUAAAAAAGCGUUGAUAAACUUAUACAACUUUCAACAACGGAUCUCUUGGCUCUCGCAUCGAUGAAGAACGCAGCGAAAUGCGAUAAGUAAUGUGAAUUGCAGAUUUUCAGUGAAUCAUCGAAUCUUUGAACGCACCUUGCGCUCCUUGGUAUUCCGAGGAGCAUGCCUGUUUGAGUGUCAUUAAAUUCUCAACUCCAAGGGUUUCACGACCUUUCGGAGAUUGGACUUGGAGGUGCUGGCCGCAUAUUGGUCGGCUCCUCUCAAAUGCAUCAGCGGAAUUCAACCUUUGGCUUCCGGAUGUCAGUGUGAUAAUCAUGUUGCGCUGUCGUUUGAUCCCUCAGAGUCCGCUUAUAAUGGUCUUCGGACAAAAUCAUCAUCAAAUUUGACCUCAAAUCAGGUAGGACUACCCGCUGAACUUAAGCAUAUCAAUAAGCGGAAG
Molecule: ribosomal RNA, 677 nt
Filed under: uncultured fungus
Lineage: Eukaryota; Fungi
Description: eukaryotic LSU rRNA
Rfam family: 5.8S ribosomal RNA (bases 264-418)
Source: RNAcentral